RNAcentral lists this ribosomal RNA (253 nucleotides) under uncultured bacterium. RNAcentral's name for it is "partial 16S ribosomal RNA". It matches the Rfam family "Bacterial small subunit ribosomal RNA", at positions 524 to 776 of the family's 1533-position model. The record is from RNAcentral.
UACGAAGGUGGCAAGCGUUGUUCGGAUUUACUGGGCGUACAGGGAGCGUAGGCGGUUGGAUAAGCCCUCCGUGAAAUCUCCAGGUUUAACCUGGAAAGUGCAGAGGGGACUGUUCAGCUAGAGGAUGGGAGAGGAGCGCGGAAUUCCCGGUGUAGCGGUGAAAUGCGUAGAGAUCGGGAGGAAGGCCGGUGGCGAAGGCGGCGCUCUGGAACAUUUCUGACGCUGAGGCUCGAAAGCGUGGGGAGCAAACAGG